CUGGCGGCACGCCUAACACAUGCAAGUCGAACGAAGUAGCAAUACUUAGUGGCAGACGGGUGAGUAACAUGUAGGUAUCUUCCCUUUGGCCUGGAAUAACACGAGGAAACUUGUGCUAAUACCGGAUAAGUCUUCACGGAGAAAGCUUUAUGCACCAUUGGAUGAGCCUGCACUUGAUUAGUUUGUUGGUGGGGUAAUGGCCUACCAAGACUUUGAUCAAUAGCUGAUUUGAGAGGAUGAUCAGCCACAUUGGGACUGAGACACGGCCCAAACUCCUACGGGAGGCAGCAGUGGGGAAUCUUGCACAAUGGAGGAAACUCUGAUGCAGCGAUGCCGCGUGAGUGAAGAAGGCCCUUGGGUUGUAAAGCUCUUUCGUCGGGGAAGAAAAUGACUGUACCCGAAUAAGAAGGUCCGGCUAACUUCGUGCCAGCAGCCGCGGUAAUACGAAGGGACCUAGCGUAGUUCGGAAUUACUGGGCUUAAAGAGUUCGUAGGUGGUUGAAAAAGUUGGUGGUGAAAUCCCAGAGCUUAACUCUGGAACUGCCAUCAAAACUUUUCAGCUAGAGUUUGAUAGAGGAAAGCAGAAUUUCUAGUGUAGAGGUGAAAUUCGUAGAUAUUAGAAAGAAUACCAAUUGCGAAGGCAGCUUUCUGGAUCAUUACUGACACUGAGGAACGAAAGCAUGGGUAGCGAAGAGGAUUAGAUACCCUCGUAGUCCAUGCCGUAAACGAUGUGUGUUAGACGUUGGAAAUUUAUUUUCAGUGUCGCAGCGAAAGCGAUAAACACACCGCCUGGGGAGUACGA
Molecule: ribosomal RNA, 801 nt
Filed under: uncultured Pelagibacteraceae bacterium
Lineage: Bacteria; Pseudomonadati; Pseudomonadota; Alphaproteobacteria; Candidatus Pelagibacterales; Candidatus Pelagibacteraceae
Description: bacterial SSU rRNA
Rfam family: Bacterial small subunit ribosomal RNA
Source: RNAcentral